RNAcentral lists this ribosomal RNA (253 nucleotides) under uncultured bacterium. Its description in RNAcentral is "partial 16S ribosomal RNA". It matches the Rfam family "Bacterial small subunit ribosomal RNA", at positions 524 to 776 of the family's 1533-position model. The record is from RNAcentral.
UACGUAGGGACCGAGCGUUGUCCGGAAUCAUUGGGCGUAAAGAGCGUGUAGGCGGCCUUUUAAGUCCUGCGUGAAAUCCUGCGGCUCAACCGCAGACGGUCGUGGGAAACUGGAAGGCUAGAGUGCGGGAGAGGAGAGUGGGAUUCCCGGUGUAGCGGUGAAAUGCGCAGAUAUCGGGAAGAACACCCGUGGCGAAGGCGGCUCUCUGGAACGCAACUGACGCUGAGACGCGAAAGCGUGGGGAGCAAACAGG